CAAUAGCGUAUAUUAAAGUUGUUGCGGUUAAAAAGCUCGUAGUUGAAUUUCUGGCGGGCGCGCCGGUCUUCCAAGUGUUGUACUGGGCGCAGUCCGCCAUCCUUGUGGAGAGGGCUCGCAUUGAGUUGCGUGUCGGAUCUGCAUCAUUUACUGUGAAAAAAUUAGAGUGUUUAAAGCAGGCUGUCGCUUGAAUACAUUAGCAUGGAAUAAUAAGAUAGGACUUCGGUCUAUUUUGUUGGUUGCGAACCGAGGUAAUGAUUAAUAGGGAUAGUUGGGGGUAUUCAUAUUUAAUUGUCAGAGGUGAAAUUCUUGGAUUUAUGAAAGAUGAACAACUGCGAAAGCAUUUACCAAGGAUGUUUUCAUUAA
This 366-nucleotide ribosomal RNA is filed under the name uncultured eukaryote. Its description in RNAcentral is "partial 18S ribosomal RNA". It matches the Rfam family "Eukaryotic small subunit ribosomal RNA", at positions 592 to 976 of the family's 1831-position model. The record is from RNAcentral.